GACAGAGGAUGCAAGUGUUAUCCGGAAUUAUUGGGCGUAAAGCGUUUGUAGGUGGGAUUCUCAGUCCUUAGUAAAAUCUUUAAGCGCAGUUUAAAGUUAGCAAAGGAUACUAGUUUUCUUGAGCAUGGUUAAGGUUUGGGGAAUUUCCAGUGAAGCGAUAAAAUGCGAAGAGAUUGGAAAGAACACCAGUAGCGAAGGCACUUUGCUAGACUAUAGCUGACACUGAGAAACGAAAGCUAAGGGAACAAACGGG
RNAcentral lists this ribosomal RNA (253 nucleotides) under uncultured bacterium. RNAcentral's name for it is "partial 16S ribosomal RNA". It matches the Rfam family "Bacterial small subunit ribosomal RNA", at positions 524 to 776 of the family's 1533-position model. The record is from RNAcentral.